GUCAAACUUUUGCAAUGUAAAUACACACGGUUAGAUAUUAUAAAAUUCUUCUUAAGGUGGUGAAAUACGAAAAAGUUAUAAACUAUUAAUAUAAUUUAUUAUCCAAACCCUGAGAAAAGACAAGGAUUAGAUACCCUUUUAUUCGGGGCACAUUAUCUUACGGAGCAUUACGGCUAAGAAAGCUAAAACUCAAACAUCAUGGCGGUAAUUUUCAUUUAGGGGAACUUACCACAUAAUUGAUAACCACCAAGGUAACCAAACUUCAAGAAAUUCUUGUAUGCCGUCGUCGUCAGGUAAAACAUGAUGUUUUAUCAGGGAGAAAUCAAAAAGACAGAUCAAGGUGCAGACAAUCUUAAAGUGUAGGCGAGUUACAAUUUUCAGCAGCAAGUUAUUUUAAAAAUGGCUUAAAGGAGGACUUAACAGUAAAUUUAAUUAUGAUUACCRAUUGAAAAAAGUUAGAAUUGUGCACAA
RNAcentral lists this ribosomal RNA (471 nucleotides) under Trozena morata. Its description in RNAcentral is "partial 12S ribosomal RNA". The record is from RNAcentral. Lineage: Eukaryota; Metazoa; Mollusca; Gastropoda; Stylommatophora; Camaenidae.